RNAcentral lists this long non-coding RNA (208 nucleotides) under Panax ginseng (ginseng). RNAcentral describes it as "long non-coding RNA (PGIN_LNC004412)". Lineage: Eukaryota; Viridiplantae; Streptophyta; Magnoliopsida; Apiales; Araliaceae. The record is from RNAcentral.
UACCUGGCUGGCUCAAUGUCCCCAUAACAAAAAAUGGCAAAAAUACAAAAAACUAAAAUAUUAUUAACUUAAUAAAAUAAUCCACUACAUAAUCAUUCAUUAUCUUUACAAUUAACCAUCUAAAGCUACCACAGUUCUUCAAUCAAAGUAUAUAUCUACAUAUAUAAAGAGAGUACACUUCAUAAUUUCGUCUCUUGUCUUCCGUAAA